AUUGCCAGCAGUUAGCUCUCGGCAACUCUCACAUGGUCACCAACUGAAGCUAAGCAGGGGCUGUGCCUGGUGAGUACAUGGAUGGGAGACCACAUGGGAAAGCUAGGUUGCUGCCAGAA
RNAcentral lists this ribosomal RNA (119 nucleotides) under Danio rerio (zebrafish). Lineage: Eukaryota; Metazoa; Chordata; Actinopteri; Cypriniformes; Danionidae. The record is from RNAcentral.